UACAGGCUUUCCAAAGGAAUGCCUGAACCUGGACAGUAGGAGAGCUGAGGCUGGUUUUCUGUUUGAGGCAUAGCUGGAGGGAACGUUUGAUGAUCUAUGCAAAAGAUAUUCUGGAAGGAAAUGAUUCUGCAGAGAGGGAAGUAGAGUCUGCUCUUCACUGCCACCUGCUGUUGAUUUCAGGGAAGUUUUCACAACGGUCAGUAGCAAAGUUUCAGCUUAAGAUGACUCCAUGUAGAGAAAAUAAUAUGAAAGCUCAUCUGUUCUAACAAUGCUGACAAUGCCUGGUAUGUGAGGAAAGAUGCUAAAACAAAGUCCUGGCAAGCCAAAUCCACAACACAGAAGAACAACAGAUCAAAGAUGAGGAGUGUGGCCUCGUUCCCAUAAUACAGCACACUGCUGAAAGAAUGGCCUUCAUCUACAAAAAAUAUGUGGAAGAUGUGUUAAACAGUGACAGAAAAGGUCUGCGCUACCCUCUGGUGACAGCAGAUUAAACAUGAAGUAUGCUAUGGAUCACACUAAGUAAAAGGUGUU
RNAcentral lists this long non-coding RNA (531 nucleotides) under Mus pahari (shrew mouse). RNAcentral describes it as "lncRNA (MGP_PahariEiJ_G0003121.1)". The record is from RNAcentral. Lineage: Eukaryota; Metazoa; Chordata; Mammalia; Rodentia; Muridae.